UGAAUACGAGACGCUACGGCGUCGAAGCAGUCUAUGUCAGACUUCCAAGAAAAGCUCGCAAUGUCAUAAACAAAUAAUGCCUGUACCAUAACCGACACAGGUGGGUAGGUAGAGUAUACUAAGGGGCGCGAGAUAACUCUCUCUAAGGAACUCGGCAAAAUGACUCCGUAACUUCGGGAGAAGGAGUGCCUUAUUUAUAAGGUUGCAAUAACAAGAUCCAAGCAACUGUUUAUCAAAAACACAGGUCUCCGCUAAGUCGUAAGACGAUGUAUGGGGGCUGACGCCUGCCCAGUGCCAGAAGGUUAAAGAAGUUGGUUAGCAUUCGCGAAGCUGAUAACUGAAGCCCUGGUGAACGGCGGCCGUAACUAUAACGGUCCUAAGGUAGCGAAAUUCCUUGUCGGGUAAGUUCCGACCCGCACGAAAGGCGUAAUGAUUUGGAUACUGUCUCGGAGAGGGGCUCGGUGAAAUAGACUUGUCUGUGAAGAUGCGGACUACCUGCACCUGGACAGAAAGACCCUAUGAAGCUUUACUGUAACUUGAAAUUGAAAUUGGACUUUAUUUGCGCAGCAUAGGUGGGAGGCGUUGAGAGUAUUCUUGCGGGAAUAUUGGAGCCAUCAGUGAGAUACCACUCUUGUAAUGUUAGAUUUCUAACUUUGUAUCAUUAUCUGGUCAAAGAACAGUUUCAGGCGGGCAGUUUGACUGGGGCGGUCGCCUCCCAAACGGUAACGGAGGCGUACAAAGGUUUCCUCUGAACGGGUAGAAAUCGUAUCUAGAGUGUAAAGGCAUAAGGAAGCUUGACUGUGAGACCUACAAGUCGAGCAGGGACGAAAGUCGGUCUUAGUGAUCUGACGGUGCUGAGUGGAAAGGCCGUCACUCAACGGAUAAAAGUUACUCUAAGGAUAACAGGCUGAUCUCCCCCAAGAGUUCACAUCGACGGGGAGGUUUGGCACCUCGAUGUCGGCUCAUCGCAUCCUGGGGCGGUAGUACGUCCCAAGGGUUGGGCUGUUCGCCCAUGAAAGCGGUACGCGAGCUGGGUUCAGAACGUCGUGAGACAGUUCGGUCCAUAUCCGGUGUAGGCGUUAGAAUAUUGAGAGGAGCCUUCUUUAGUACGAGAGGACCGAGAAGGACAUACCUCUGGUGUACCAGUUAUCGUGCCAACGGUAAACGCUGGUAGCUAUGUAUGGAGAGGAUAACCGCUGAAAGCAUCUAAGUGGGAAGCCCACCUCAAGAUAAGUAUUCUC
This 1241-nucleotide ribosomal RNA is filed under the name metagenome. RNAcentral's name for it is "bacterial LSU rRNA". It matches the Rfam family "Bacterial large subunit ribosomal RNA", at positions 1564 to 2815 of the family's 2925-position model. The record is from RNAcentral.